AAACCUGCAAGAUAAUAAGGAAAUUUUGUGAGGAGUCUUCUUCCUCCUGCAUUUCCUUCUUCGUAGAACCAAGACCACUUGAUGCUGCGGGGCUCUAUUUCUUUUAAGGUAGGCAUUAGUUUGCUAUGCCGGCUAUUCGCUGGCUGUGGCAAGGCUGAGCUUCAUUGUCCGCUUGCUUCGUGACUUAGAUUCACAUAGGAUCAGACCUAUUUCGGCAGAUUCAAUCAAGUUGCAAGUUCAAUGUUUUCUAGGUGUGUUUUAAUUAAAUUGAGUUGCUUUGUCGUUUGCCUUUAUUGAAUGAAGGGUUGGAGAUUCAUGCAGCUGCAGCAAAUUUGGGUUUUGAUAAAUAUUCAUUCUGCAAUGCGUUUGUUGAAAAUGUAUGCUGCAUUGGAAGGAUUUUUAGUGGCACGUUUGGUGUUUGAUAAAAUGCCUUGUCGUGAUUUUUUUACUUGGAGCAUUAUGAUUAAUGAACUCUAAUGCAGAACCAAACAAGAUGGUCCUUUUGUUGAUCGAAUAAUUGAGAAAUUGUUCAAUUAAAAAUUUUCUUUAAAUUUGUUGAUGAAUUGCAGUUUUUAUGAUUUCUUUCUUCUGUCCUUGUUUUGUUUGGGUUUAUAUAAAUUAGAGAGAGAUUGAUGGAGACAAUGGAAGAUGGUGAAAGAACCAGGAAUAAAGUGAAAGAUGAUGAGGG
Molecule: long non-coding RNA, 688 nt
Filed under: Manihot esculenta (cassava)
Lineage: Eukaryota; Viridiplantae; Streptophyta; Magnoliopsida; Malpighiales; Euphorbiaceae
Description: long non-coding RNA (MESC_LNC007729)
Source: RNAcentral